GCCUGAGUGGCUCAGUUGGUUGAGCAUCUGACUUCAACUCAGGUCAUGGUCUUGCAGUUCAUGAGUUCGAGCCUCACGUCUGGCU
This 85-nucleotide transfer RNA is filed under the name Felis catus (domestic cat). It matches the Rfam family "tRNA". Rfam says of the family: Transfer RNA (tRNA) molecules are approximately 80 nucleotides in length. Their secondary structure includes four short double-helical elements and three loops (D, anti-codon, and T loops). The record is from Rfam by way of RNAcentral. Lineage: Eukaryota; Metazoa; Chordata; Mammalia; Carnivora; Felidae.